RNAcentral lists this long non-coding RNA (478 nucleotides) under Homo sapiens (human). RNAcentral describes it as "HSALNT0166380". Lineage: Eukaryota; Metazoa; Chordata; Mammalia; Primates; Hominidae. The record is from RNAcentral.
UGGUCUACCCAGGAGGGAAAAACACUAGGCAUCCAAAAGACUGCUUGAUCACAACCCCAAUACACUUACACAGAGCCUAAAAUUGGUCCUCUCAUUCCAGGCGAAGCCCUAUUGGGGGAAAUAAUCUACACAACCAGCUGCAAAGGAAACCCAGACCAGUAUGUAUACUAAUCAUAUAUGGUGUCAUUAAUAUAUAUGAGGGGACAAACACAGAUCAACAUUUAAAGAAAACCUAACUACAGGGUUUUAAACAAGCACUGUUCAGCAAGCUGUGACUUACUAGCACUAAAAAACUGAGUUCCCAAGAAACUGCAGUUCCCAAUCCUGGUUACAUAUCAGAAUCACCUAUAGGACUUUUCUUUUUUUUUUUUAUUUGGAGACAGAGUUUCACUCUUGUCACCCAGGCUGGAGUGCAAUGGCCACGAUCGCAGCUCACUGCAACCUCCGCCUCCCGGGUUCAAGCCAUUCUCCUGUCUCA